AACGAACGCUGGCGGCAGGCUUAACACAUGCAAGUCGAACGCCCCGCAAGGGGAGUGGCAGACGGGUGAGUAACGCGUGGGGACAUACCCUUUUCUACGGAAUAGCUCUGGGAAACUGGAAUUAAUACCGUAUACGCCCUACGGGGGAAAGAUUUAUCGGGGAAGGAUUGGCCCGCGUUGGAUUAGCUAGUUGGUGGGGUAAAGGCCUACCAAGGCGACGAUCCAUAGCUGGUCUGAGAGGAUGAUCAGCCACAUUGGGACUGAGACACGGCCCAAACUCCUACGGGAGGCAGCAGUGGGGAAUAUUGGACAAUGGGCGCAAGCCUGAUCCAGCCAUGCCGCGUGAGUGAUGAAGGCCUUAGGGUUGUAAAGCUCUUUCACCGAUGAAGAUAAUGACGGUAGUCGGAGAAGAAGCCCCGGCCAACUUCGUG
Molecule: ribosomal RNA, 431 nt
Filed under: uncultured bacterium
Lineage: Bacteria
Description: partial 16S ribosomal RNA
Rfam family: Bacterial small subunit ribosomal RNA
Source: RNAcentral